This 498-nucleotide ribosomal RNA is filed under the name uncultured bacterium. RNAcentral describes it as "bacterial SSU rRNA". It matches the Rfam family "Bacterial small subunit ribosomal RNA", at positions 31 to 507 of the family's 1533-position model. The record is from RNAcentral.
GAACGUUGGCGGCGUGGAUUAGGCAUGCAAGUCGAACGCAGGACCGGCUUCGGUUGGUCUUGAGUGGCGAAAGGGUGAGUAAUGCAUAAACAAUCUGCCCCUGAGACUGGGAUAGCUACUGGAAACGGUAGGUAAUACCAGAUGGCCCCACGAUGUGGCAUCACAAUGUGGGUAAACGGUAGGGAUCUUCGGACCUUCUGCUCGGGGAGGAGUUUAUGUCCUAUUAGCUAGUUGGUGAGGUAAUGGCUCACCAAGGCUGUGAUGGGUAGCUGGUCUGAGAGGAUGGUCAGCCACACUGGGACUGAGACACUGCCCAGACUCUUACGGGAGGCUGCAGUCGAGAAUCUUCCGCAAUGGGCGAAAGCCUGACGGGGCGACGCCGCGUGGAGGAUCGAAGGCCUUCGGGUUGUAAACUCCUUUCAAGCGGGGACGAAUAACUGUGCGUUAAUAGCGUACGGUGUGACAUAACCCGCAGAAGAAGCUCCGGCUAACCCUGUG